UGGGGAAUAUUGGACAAUGGGCGAAAGCCUGAUCCAGCCAUGCCGCGUGUGUGAAGAAGGUCUUCGGAUUGUAAAGCACUUUAAGUUGGGAGGAAGGGUUGUAGAUUAAUACUCUGCAAUUUUGACGUUACCGACAGAAUAAGCACCGGCUAACUCUGUGCCAGCAGCCGCGGUAAUACGGGGGGUGCAAGCGUUGUUCGAAAUUACUGGGCGUAAAGCGUACGUAGGCGGUUCGGUAAGUCCCAUGUGAAAUCCCACGGCUCAACCGUGGAAGGUCAUGGGAAACUGCCAGGCUAGAGUGUGAAAGGGGAGAGUGGAAUUCCCAGUGUAGUGGUGAAAUACGUAGAUAUUGGGAGGAACACCGGUGGCGAAAGCGACUCUCUGGUUCAUAACUGACGCUGAGGUACGAAAGCGUGGGGAGCAAACAGGAUUAGAUACCCUCGUAGUCCCUGAG
Molecule: ribosomal RNA, 454 nt
Filed under: uncultured bacterium
Lineage: Bacteria
Description: bacterial SSU rRNA
Rfam family: Bacterial small subunit ribosomal RNA
Source: RNAcentral